UCGAAGACGAUUAGACACCGUCGUAGUCUUAACUAUAAACUAUGCCGACCAGGGAUAUGAGGUAAUUGUUAUUAUAUAAACAAAUUAAAAAUUUGUUUAUCCUUGUGGACCUUGUGAGAAAUCAUAAGUUUUUGGGUUCUGGGGGGAGUAUGGUCGCAAGGCAUCGCUUAGUAUUUUAUUGCUUUUAGAUGUAGUAAUUGGGUAAAACUGGUUAUGAAACCUAAGGGAUCACAAUAAGGUAUUAAGUGGGGUUCCAGUUCAUUUACUUUGAGUAAAUUAGAGUGUUCAAAGCAGCCUGUAUGGGCAUUGAAUAGAUUAGCAUGGGAUAAUAGAAUAGGAUUCUUGUCUAUUUAUUGGUUUAUAGACUUAGAAUAAUGAUUAAUAGGGAUAGUUGGGGGGCACUUGUAUUCAAUAGUCAGAG
RNAcentral lists this ribosomal RNA (421 nucleotides) under uncultured eukaryote. RNAcentral describes it as "partial 18S ribosomal RNA". The stretch from base 254 to 421 matches the Rfam family "Eukaryotic small subunit ribosomal RNA", at positions 743 to 910 of the family's 1831-position model. The record is from RNAcentral.